AACGAACGCUGGCGGCAUGCCUAACACAUGCAAGUCGAACGAGACCUUCGGGUCUAGUGGCGCACGGGUGCGUAACGCGUGGGAACCUGCCCUUAGGUUCGGAAUAACUCCCCGAAAGGGGUGCUAAUACCGGAUAAUGUCUUCGGACCAAAGAUUUAUCGCCUUUGGAUGGGCCCGCGUUGGAUUAGCUAGUUGGUAGGGUAAAAGCCUACCAAGGCGACGAUCCAUAGCUGGUCUGAGAGGAUGAUCAGCCACACUGGGACUGAGACACGGCCCAGACUCCUACGGGAGGCAGCAGUGGGGAAUAUCGGACAAUGGGCGAAAGCCUGAUCCAGCAAUGCCGCGUGAGUGAUGAAGGCCUUAGGGUUGUAAAGCUCUUUUACCCGGGAUGAUAAGGACAGCACCGGGAGAAUAAGCUCCGGCUAACUCCGU
RNAcentral lists this ribosomal RNA (432 nucleotides) under uncultured bacterium. RNAcentral's name for it is "partial 16S ribosomal RNA". It matches the Rfam family "Bacterial small subunit ribosomal RNA", at positions 29 to 506 of the family's 1533-position model. The record is from RNAcentral.